CGGCGUCCGUUUCCACAGGAAGCUCAGCUACCACAGUCUUUUGGUCUUGUCGCUUUUUGGUCUCUACAAAUGUAGGACGUUUGUCAGCGUAAGCCAUUAUUGACAGGCUACAUCAUAAUAUUCAUUUGUCCUGGACGGCUGAAUAAGUGACAGUAAUAGACCGAGGCCCAGAGGAAGAAGAUGAAGACAUGCUAUCAAGAGCAGCUGUGACACGGCAGCUGGUCUGACAGUGUGUAUGUGGUCUGAAUACACAUCUUUUCAUCUAAGGCAGGCUGGGAACCUGGGCUCACUGUUCGAGGGGAGUGAAGGCAGAAUGACCAACAUGGACGGUUAGUGUUGACACUGGCCGGUGUGAUGCCUGCUGUCCUCAUCAGACUCCUCGGUUUGAGGCUCGAAGCAGUUGUCGAAUUUCUUCCGCAGUCUUUUCUUGAGGUUCAGACCCCUCUGGAUGUUUGUGUUUGUGCACUCCUGAGCCUUUAGCUUGGCGUAAUAGUCAGAAAAUUUGUUGAACAGGAUGGAGAUUGGCAUUCCAUUUAAAAUGAUACCAAAAGAAAUGCAGCCAAAGGCCACCACUCGACCGGAGUAGGAAAUGGGCACCACGUCUCCAUAUCCCACAGUGGAAAUGCUCACCUGUAAAGGCAUAAAAAAAGACAAUGUAUAUUUAUUUACUGCAAAAUACACUCUAAAAAUGCAA
Danio rerio (zebrafish) is the source of this 694-nucleotide non-coding RNA. NCBI's taxonomy places the organism in Eukaryota, Metazoa, Chordata, Actinopteri, Cypriniformes, Danionidae. The record is from Ensembl.